Molecule: ribosomal RNA, 384 nt
Filed under: Leegaardiella sp.
Lineage: Eukaryota; Ciliophora; Spirotrichea; Choreotrichida; Leegaardiellidae
Description: partial small subunit ribosomal RNA
Rfam family: Eukaryotic small subunit ribosomal RNA
Source: RNAcentral
AUUCCAGCUCCAAUAGCGUAUAUUAAAGUUGUUGCAGUUAAAAAGCUCGUAGUUGGAUUUCUGGCCGAGUGUCCCUAGGCCAGCUUGACGUUUGGUCCUAGGCGCUCUGCCAUCCUUCUGUUAACCUUCGCCUCGUUCACUCGUGGCGCUGGGGCUCAGAUAUUUUACCUUGAGAAAAUUAGAGUGUUUCAGGCAGGCUUUCGCCGGAAUACAUUAGCAUGGAAUAAUGGAAAAGGACUUCAACCUCUUCUGUUGGUCUGAGAGGCUGUAGUAAUGAUUAAUAGGGAUAGUUGGGGGCAUUAGUACUUAACUGUCAGAGGUGAAGCUCUCCGAUUUGUUAAAGACUAACUUAUGCGAAAGCAUUUGCCAAGGAUGUUUUCAUUA